This 648-nucleotide long non-coding RNA is filed under the name Helianthus annuus (common sunflower). The record is from RNAcentral. Lineage: Eukaryota; Viridiplantae; Streptophyta; Magnoliopsida; Asterales; Asteraceae.
AAGUCGGGUUUGCCAAGCCUCGAUUUUGCCUUCAUAUAAUGGGCAGAAGUUGGAUUGUUGAUGGUAGAGCUAUUGCAUGAAAGGAUGAAACAUGUAGUCCGCCUUUGGUAAAUCAAAUCAAAGACUGGAGCAAUUCAGGAUUGACCACGAUGCCAUUUCAGGAUUGAUAGUUGUGAUGUGUCAGUAGAGUAGUGGCCUGGGCUUACCGUUGGUGUGAAAUUGGAACCCACUGAUCUGAUCUUGAGCUCUUAGAUCAUUCGGCAGCCAAAUGUGGUGUGGGAAAUCAAAAACCACACCAAUUAAUUAAUGAGUUCAUCCCUACACUUGAUGUAGAUGAAGGAAUAUGUUCCAAACAUCCUGAAAAUCUUCUUGGAUAGUGAAGUUGAGAAAAUAUUAUAUGGACUCAGCUAUAUAGGAGCAACUAAUGCAUCAUUGUUGGGGGUGAGAUGGACAAACUUGCAAUUGAAGAAGAGGUUUAAAGAGCGGUGGUGUUCCUCAAAAAGUUUCUUACAAGGAUUAACCAUCUCAAAAACAGGUAUUAGUUUAAUUUUAAGUUCAAAUUAGAUCAUUUUAUAUUAAUAUUUUGGAUAGUAACAUAAAAUUUUGGUAAAUAUUAGGAUUAUGGAUUUGAGAGUUAUACAGUUUAAU